AGAACUGACAUAAAAGAAAAUGAACUUUAGAAAAUAAAAAAUGAAGAACAAUUAUUCAACAGAAUUUUAUGCAGCGUUGGUCGUGUCAUAAUAAGCAAACCCAUAAAGAGUUAGUGUAAUUUGGAUUCUAAACUUUACAUUUUAUUAACCCAAUCAAACCAAGUACCGUUUAAAAGGGCCGAGAGGAGCUCUCUUCAGUUCAUUCCGAGACUGUUCGAGAGUCAAAACGCAGCUGCUGAUUCGUUAGCUCAAUGGCUCAUCAUCCACAAAAAUUCCCACCGCUAUAACGUCAAAGUUGUGUGAUGGGCUCCUGACCUAUCGAUGCAGGAGCAGUCUUUCGAUCGUCGCUGUCAUGGAUUUGAGCAGAAGCAGCUUUGAAUUCUGAAAAGCAAUUCCCCGAGGAGCGCAAGGAGGAGGUAGCUUUCUCAGUGUACAAAUUUAAAGCUUUGGGAGGUGUCUUGUGUUCUAACUUACAACUUUGGUUUUUCCUCUACGGUAUUAUUCUAUUUGCGUCUCAUUUAUCAUUAAUUUAAUUUAUUUCUUUUCCUC
This is a non-coding RNA of Momordica charantia (bitter melon), 549 nucleotides long. NCBI's taxonomy places the organism in Eukaryota, Viridiplantae, Streptophyta, Magnoliopsida, Cucurbitales, Cucurbitaceae. The record is from RefSeq and is a predicted model, not a curated record.